This 429-nucleotide ribosomal RNA is filed under the name Chloroflexota bacterium. RNAcentral describes it as "Chloroflexi bacterium partial 16S ribosomal RNA". It matches the Rfam family "Bacterial small subunit ribosomal RNA", at positions 355 to 776 of the family's 1533-position model. The record is from RNAcentral. Lineage: Bacteria; Bacillati; Chloroflexota.
UGGGGAAUAUUGCACAAUGGGCGCAAGCCUGAUGCAGCCAUGCCGCGUGUAUGAAGAAGGCCUUCGGGUUGUAAAGUACUUUCAGUCGGGAGGAAGGUGUCAAGGUUAAUAACCUUGGCAAUUGACGUUACCGACAGAAGAAGCACCGGCUAACUCCGUGCCAGCAGCCGCGGUAAUACGGAGGGAGCAAGCGUUAAUCGGAAUUACUGGGCGUAAAGCGCACGCAGGCGGUUGAUUGAGUCAGAUGUGAAAUCCCCGGGCUUAACCCGGGAAUUGCAUCUGAUACUGGUCAGCUAGAGUCUUGUAGAGGGGGGUAGAAUUCCAUGUGUAGCGGUGAAAUGCGUAGAGAUGUGGAGGAAUACCGGUGGCGAAGGCGGCCCCCUGAACAAAGACUGACGCUCAGGUGCGAAAGCGUGGGGAGCAAACAGG